AAUUAUGCCAUCCAGCAGGCCACCUAAUAUAUGACCCCAUAUUGCAGAAGCUACAUAUACAGUAUUGAUAGUUAAUUUGGUUCCCUCCCAAACAUACAAGAAGUAUUUGCCACUGGAUGUAAAACAAACAACAACCAAUCAAUUUAAAAAAAAAAAUUAAAAACCUAAUUGUAUUUGAAUCAAAGAGUAUAUGAAAGAGGGGCAAAAUAUACCAGAGGGACAACAACAUGGCUAAAAAAGAUAAAAGACAAACAGACAAAUAAUAGUACACCAGACACA
RNAcentral lists this long non-coding RNA (279 nucleotides) under Mytilus galloprovincialis (Mediterranean mussel). Lineage: Eukaryota; Metazoa; Mollusca; Bivalvia; Mytilida; Mytilidae. The record is from RNAcentral.